GACGAACGCUGGCGGCGCGCCUAACACAUGCAAGUCGAACGAGCGAGAGAGAGCUUGCUUUCUCGAGCGAGUGGCGAACGGGUGAGUAACGCGUGAGGAACCUGCCCCAAAGAGGGGGACAACAGUUGGAAACGACUGCUAAUACCGCAUAAGCCCACGGUGCCGCAUGGCACAGAGGGAAAAGGAGCAAUCCGCUUUGAGAUGGCCUCGCGUCCGAUUAGCUAGUUGGUGAGGUAAUGGCCCACCAAGGCGACGAUCGGUAGCCGGACUGAGAGGUUGAACGGCCACAUUGGGACUGAGACACGGCCCAGACUCCUACGGGAGGCAGCAGUGGGGAAUAUUGCACAAUGGGGGAAACCCUGAUGCAGCGACGCCGCGUGGAGGAAGAAGGUCUUCGGAUUGUAAACUCCUGUUGUUGGGGAAGAUAAUGACGGUACCCAACAAGGAAGUGAUGGCUAACUACGUA
This 466-nucleotide ribosomal RNA is filed under the name uncultured bacterium. Its description in RNAcentral is "partial 16S ribosomal RNA". It matches the Rfam family "Bacterial small subunit ribosomal RNA", at positions 28 to 507 of the family's 1533-position model. The record is from RNAcentral.